RNAcentral lists this ribosomal RNA (504 nucleotides) under uncultured bacterium. RNAcentral describes it as "partial 16S ribosomal RNA". It matches the Rfam family "Bacterial small subunit ribosomal RNA", at positions 28 to 523 of the family's 1533-position model. The record is from RNAcentral.
GAUGAACGCUAGCGACAGGCUUAACACAUGCAAGUCGAGGGGCAGCACGGGAGUAGUAAUACAACUGGUGGCGACCGGCGCACGGGUGAGUAACGCGUAUGCAACCUACCUAUCAGAGGGGAAUAACCCGGCGAAAGUCGGACUAAUACCGCAUAAAACAGGGGCACCGCAUGGUGCUAUUUGUUAAAGACAUUCGCAGAUAGCUGGGCAUGCGUUCCGUUAGGUAGUUGGUGAGGUAACGGCUCACCAGGCCGACGAUGGAUAGGGGAACUGAGAGGUUGGUCCCCCACACUGGUACUGAGACACGGACCAGACUCCUACGGGAGGCAGCAGUGAGGAAUAUUGGUCAAUGGGCGAGAGCCUGAACCAGCCAAGUCGCGUGAAGGAAGAAGGAUCUAUGGUUCGUAAACUUCUUUUGCAGGGGAAUAAAGUGCAGGACGUGUCCUGUUUUGUAUAUACCCUGAGAAUCAGGAUCGGCUAACUCCGUGCCAGCCGCCGCCGUAA